GGAACCUAGGCAGACAGGCUCAAGGUGCUGGGAGCCAGAAAGGCAGAUAAACACAGGCUCUGUUUUCAAGAAGACAGAUGGGUCAACAGAUACAUGUGACGCAGAUGACGACUACUCCCAGGGAGUUUCCCAGAAGCAGGGCCUGGAUGAAGGAAGACCUUGCUGAAUUCCCUGUCCUCCUGCCCCCACAGUCCAGACCACUGCCAGACUCCUCCUCCUCCUCCCAGCCUCUGCUGGCUCUGUUGAGAGCAUCGGUUGGACGAAGCCCAGGAUGAUUAAAUUGCACUUCGAGCCACUGCUGUGUUGACCAGACCUCCCUUCCAGCAACAAGUAGCAAACAUUUGAUCGAGUCAGAGUGGCCACUUGUCCCCAUUUCCCUCACCCCCGCUCAGCUUUGGAACACGAGGGCCGGGUCCUGAGGGAAACUGCCGGCUCACGCACCAGCCUGCUUGGGAGGCUGUGUCAUGUUCUGGAAAUUACAGCCCUGUGCUUCUUCCA
This is a long non-coding RNA of Suricata suricatta (meerkat), 498 nucleotides long. RefSeq lists it as uncharacterized. The transcript has 2 exons. Lineage: Eukaryota; Metazoa; Chordata; Mammalia; Carnivora; Herpestidae. The record is from RefSeq and is a predicted model, not a curated record.